UGUGUUCCGUGCAUAGAGUUAAAUGCUGAAUCUUGUCUCGUACCACAUCCUGGUAUCUAGAAACAAUAAAAACAUUGAAUAAAUAUUAAUAAUAAUUUAAU
This is a long non-coding RNA of Maniola jurtina (meadow brown), 101 nucleotides long. RefSeq lists it as uncharacterized. Lineage: Eukaryota; Metazoa; Arthropoda; Insecta; Lepidoptera; Nymphalidae. The record is from RefSeq and is a predicted model, not a curated record. The transcript has 3 exons.